ACAGCCAGGAUGUUGGCUUAGAAGCAGCCAUCAUUUAAAGAAAGCGUAAUAGCUCACUGGUCGAGUCGGCCUGCGCGGAAGAUGUAACGGGGCUAAACCAUGCACCGAAGCUGCGGCAGCGACGCUGAUGCGUUGUUGGGUAGGGGAGCGUUCUGUAAGCCUGCGAAGGUGGCCUGUGAGGGUUGCUGGAGGUAUCAGAAGUGCGAAUGCUGACAUAAGUAACGAUAAAGCGGGUGAAAAGCCCGCUCGCCGGAAGACCAAGGGUUCCUGUCCAACGUUAAUCGGGGCAGGGUGAGUCGACCCCUAAGGCGAGGCCGAAAGGCGUAGUCGAUGGGAAACGGGUUAAUAUUCCCGUACUUGGUGUUACUGCGAAGGGGGGACGGAGAAGGCUAUGUUGGCCGGGCGACGGUUGUCCCGGUUUAAGCGUGUAGGUGUGUGUUCCAGGUAAAUCCGGUUCACUUUAACACUGAGGCGUGAUGACGAGGCACUACGGUGCUGAAGCAACAAAUGCCCUGCUUCCAGGAAAAGCCUCUAAGCAUCAGGUAACAUCAAAUCGUACCCCAAACCGACACAGGUGGUCAGGUAGAGAAUACCAAGGCGCUUGAGAGAACUCGGGUGAAGGAACUAGGCAAAAUGGUGCCGUAACUUCGGGAGAAGGCACGCUGACACGUAGGUGAAGUGAUUUACUCAUGGAGCUGAAGUCAGUCGAAGAUACCAGCUGGCUGCAACUGUUUAUUAAAAACACAGCACUGUGCAAACACGAAAGUGGACGUAUACGGUGUGACGCCUGCCCGGUGCCGGAAGGUUAAUUGAUGGGGUCAGCGCAAGCGAAGCUCCUGAUCGAAGCCCCGGUAAACGGCGGCCGUAACUAUAACGGUCCUAAGGUAGCGAAAUUCCUUGUCGGGUAAGUUCCGACCUGCACGAAUGGCGUAAUGAUGGCCAGGCUGUCUCCACCCGAGACUCAGUGAAAUUGAACUCGCUGUGAAGAUGCAGUGUACCCGCGGCAAGACGGAAAGACCCCGUGAACCUUUACUAUAGCUUGACACUGAACAUUGAGCCUUGAUGUGUAGGAUAGGUGGGAGGCUUUGAAGUGUGGACGCCAGUCUGCAUGGAGCCGACCUUGAAAUACCACCCUUUAAUGUUU
RNAcentral lists this ribosomal RNA (1144 nucleotides) under Salmonella enterica subsp. enterica. RNAcentral's name for it is "partial 23S ribosomal RNA". It matches the Rfam family "Bacterial large subunit ribosomal RNA", at positions 1089 to 2215 of the family's 2925-position model. The record is from RNAcentral. Lineage: Bacteria; Pseudomonadati; Pseudomonadota; Gammaproteobacteria; Enterobacterales; Enterobacteriaceae.